GGACCCUACGGGACGCAGCAGUGAGGAAUAUUGGUCAAUGGGCUUACGCCUGAACCAGCCAAGUCGCGUGAGGGAAGACUGCCGUAUGGGUUGUAAAUCUCUUUUGUCAGGGAGCAACGCCGGCUACGUGUAGCCGGACUGAGAGUACCUGAAGAAAAAGCAUCGGCUAACUCCGUGCCAGCAGCCGCGGUAAUACGGAGGAUCCGAGAGUUAUCCGGAUUCAUUGGGUUUAAAGGGUGCGUAGGUUGUUUUAUAAGUUAGCGGUGAAAUACCGAUGAUCAACAUCGGGGCU
RNAcentral lists this ribosomal RNA (292 nucleotides) under uncultured bacterium. Its description in RNAcentral is "partial 16S ribosomal RNA". It matches the Rfam family "Bacterial small subunit ribosomal RNA", at positions 334 to 622 of the family's 1533-position model. The record is from RNAcentral.